Molecule: ribosomal RNA, 1348 nt
Filed under: metagenome
Description: bacterial LSU rRNA
Rfam family: Bacterial large subunit ribosomal RNA
Source: RNAcentral
UGAGUGCGAGCUGCUACGGCAGCGAAGUUGGUGACGUCAAGCUUCCAAGAAAAGCCCUAUACCCGUUAAGGCAUCAUGGCCUGUACCCGAAACCGACACAGGUGGGGUGGUAGAGAAUACCGAGGGGCGCGAGGUAACUCUCUCUAAGGAACUCGGCAAAAUGGCCCCGUAACUUCGGGAGAAGGGGUGCCACCGCAAGGUGGUCGCAGUGAAGAGGCCCAGGCGACUGUUUACCAAAAACACAGGUCUCCGCUAAGUCGCAAGACGAUGUAUGGGGGCUGACGCCUGCCCAGUGCCGGAAGGUUAAGGAAGCUGGUCAGCGCAAGCGAAGCUGGCGACUGAAGCCCCGGUGAACGGCGGCCGUAACAAUAACGGUCCUAAGGUAGCGAAAUUCCUUGUCGGGUAAGUUCCGACCCGCACGAAAGGCGUAACGAUCUGGGCGCUGUCUCGGAGAGAGGCUCGGCGAAAUAGAAUUGUCUGUGAAGAUGCGGACUACGUGCACCCGGACAGAAAGACCCUAUGAAGCUUUACUGUAGCUUGGUAUUGUGCCCGGGCUCUGAAUGCGCAGGAUAGGUGGGAGGCUUUGAUCAUCGGCUUGCGGGUCGAUGUGAGCCAACGGUGAGAUACCACUCUUUCAGAGCUAGGGUUCUAACAGUCACCCGUUAUCCGGGGACUGGACAGUAUCAGGUGGGCAGUUUGACUGGGGCGGUCGCCUCCUAAAAGGUAACGGAGGCGCGCAAAGGUCUGCUCAGGCUGGUUGGAAAUCAGCCGACGAGUGUAAAAGCAGAAGCAGGCUUGACUGUGAGACCUACAAGUCGAACAGGGAGGAAACUCGGCUUUAGUGAUCCGACGGUUCUGCGUGGAAGGGCCGUCGCUCAACGGAUAAAGUUACUCUAAGGAUAACAGGCUGAUCUCCCCCAAGAGUUCACAUCGACGGGGAGGUUUGGCACCUCGAUGUCGGCUCAUCGCAACCUGGGGCUGAAGUCGGUCCCAAGGGUUGGGCUGUUCGCCCAUUAAAGCGGUACGCGAGCUGGGUUCAGAACGUCGUGAGACAGUUCGGUCAUAUCCGGUGCAUGCGCAGGAAUAUUGAGAGGAGUUCUCCCUAGUACGAGAGGACCGGGAGGAACGCACCUCUGGUGUACCAGUUAUCGUGCCAACGGUAAACGCUGGGUAGCCAUGUGCGGAGAGGAUAACCGCUGAAAGCAUCUAAGUGGGAAGCCCACCUCAAGAUGAGUAUUCCCAUGGCGUUAGCCAGUAAGGUCACGGGAAGAACACCCGUUGAUAGGCUCUAUGUGGAAGCGCAGUAAUGCGUGAAGCAGAGGAGUACUAGUAGACCGAGGGCUUGAUC